GACGAACGCUGGCGGCGUGCCUAAUACAUGCAAGUAGAACGCUGAAGAGAGGAGCUUGCUCUUCUUGGAUGAGUUGCGAACGGGUGAGUAACGCGUAGGUAACCUGCCUUGUAGCGGGGGAUAACUAUUGGAAACGAUAGCUAAUACCGCAUAACAAUGGAUGAACCAUGUCAUUUAUUUGAAAGGGGCAAAUGCUCCACUACAAGAUGGACCUGCGUUGUAUUAGCUAGUAGGUGAGGUAACGGCUCACCUAGGCGACGAUACAUAGCCGACCUGAGAGGGUGAUCGGCCACACUGGGACGGAGACACGGCCCAGACUCCUACGGGAGGCAGCAGUAGGGAAUCUUCGGCAAUGGGGGCAACCCUGACCGAGCAACGCCGCGUGAGUGAAGAAGGUUUUCGGAUCGUAAAGCUCUGUUGUAAGUCAAGAACGAGUGUGAGAGUGGAAAGUUCACACUGUGACGGUAGCUUACCAGAAAGGGACGGCUAACUACGUG
RNAcentral lists this ribosomal RNA (497 nucleotides) under uncultured bacterium. Its description in RNAcentral is "partial 16S ribosomal RNA". It matches the Rfam family "Bacterial small subunit ribosomal RNA", at positions 28 to 507 of the family's 1533-position model. The record is from RNAcentral.